Molecule: non-coding RNA, 264 nt
Filed under: Anaerocolumna jejuensis
Lineage: Bacteria; Bacillati; Bacillota; Clostridia; Lachnospirales; Lachnospiraceae
Description: T-box sequence
Rfam family: T-box leader
About the family: Uncharged tRNA acts as the effector for transcription antitermination of genes in the T-box leader family.
Source: RNAcentral
CUAAAAGUGAUGAAAAGAAAAGUAAAAAACAAGGAAAGUCACAGAGAGUCCCGGAGGGUGGAAAGGGAUACGGAAGGUGUUUUUGAAAAUGGUCUUGGAACUGCGUACCGAAUGCUGAAGUUUUGGCACAAGGCUGCGACGGGCGCACCCGUUAUUGUGCCGGGCUGUCGAUAUCUUUAUAUAUCCGCAGCUGACAAGGUCUCUGCUGUGAAGCAGAGGUGAAUUUGAGGUGGUAACACGAAGCUUGCAGCUCUCGUCCUCGAA